This 468-nucleotide ribosomal RNA is filed under the name uncultured bacterium. RNAcentral describes it as "partial 16S ribosomal RNA". It matches the Rfam family "Bacterial small subunit ribosomal RNA", at positions 28 to 507 of the family's 1533-position model. The record is from RNAcentral.
GACGAACGCUGGCGGCGUGCUUAACACAUGCAAGUCGAACGGAAAGGCCCUGCUUUUGUGGUGUGCUCGUGUGGCGAGGGGGUGUGUAACACGUGUGUAACCUGCCCUUGUCUUUGGGAUAACUCCAGGAAACUGGGGCUAAUACCGGAUAGAAGCUCCUGCUCCAUGGUGGGGGUUGGAAAGUUUCGGCGGUUGGGGCUGGUCUGGCGGCUUAUCGGCUUGUUGGUGGGGUAGUUGCUUACCAAGGGUUUGACGGAUAGCCGGCCUGGGAGGGGGACCGGGGACAAUGGGCCUGAGAUAGGGCGCAGACGCGAACGGGAGGCAAUGGUCGGAAGCAUGACAGAAUGAGGGGGCGCCUGUGGCGGAGGCGCCGCGUUCGUGAAGACGGCCUUCGGGUUGUAAACCGCUUUCGCCGGUAACGAGGCGUGAGUGACGGUAAUGGGUAAAGAAGCACCGGCUAACUACGUG